RNAcentral lists this long non-coding RNA (605 nucleotides) under Malus domestica (apple). Its description in RNAcentral is "long non-coding RNA (MDOM_LNC020095)". The record is from RNAcentral. Lineage: Eukaryota; Viridiplantae; Streptophyta; Magnoliopsida; Rosales; Rosaceae.
CAAGACGUUAGAUUGUUGGAGCGUUUCUAGGUGUAUUCUAUCCAUUGUUUUAAUGUUUCAAUUUAAUUGUCUUUGUUUAAUUACGAACAUGAGAAGCUAAACUCGUUUUAGGUAGGGGGAAAUUCAAAGCCAUGAACAUAUUUGCAAUAUGAAUUGAUUAUUUCCAAUUGUGAUUUCAUGAAUCAUGAAUGCAAUUUACUUAACUGUUUGAUUAAGAACUUAUUCUUGUUUGUUGAUUAAGGGUGCAUACUUAGUUUGCAUGCAGGGAUUUGAUGCUAAAAUAUAAGGGAGUUUCACAUAAUAGUUAUGAACUUAUAUUUAUAAGUAGUGGAGGUUGCUAGUCACUAUCGCGUUAAGUGAAUUCCUAGCAGGACUAUCAUGUUGUUCGUAGUUAUGAAUGCCUUGUCAAUGCUUAUGAUUUUCACAAACCUUAAUGAUCUUUGAUUGUAUCUCUAUUAUGCUAUAAUGUAGGGAACUUUUGAAAAAUAAUUUGGUUGCCGAUGCGUUGUCCAUCCAAUUCAAUGACUUAAGGAAAAUCUGAGGGUUAAUUAGUGCUUUUCACGGUUAAUUUGGGGCGUUGAGGUUCAUGGUUUAUUGGAAAAGCA